Molecule: long non-coding RNA, 255 nt
Filed under: Homo sapiens (human)
Lineage: Eukaryota; Metazoa; Chordata; Mammalia; Primates; Hominidae
Description: non-protein coding lnc-NFKB1-4:1
Source: RNAcentral
AUGGCCUCUGACCUAGACUUCUCACCUCUGGAGGUGCCUGAGCCCACUUUCCUGGAGAACCUGCUAUGGUACGGACUCUUCCUGGGAGCCAUCUUCCAGCUCAUCUGUGUGCUGGCCAUCAUCAUACCCAUUCCCAAGUUCCACGAGGUGGAGGCUGAACCAUCUGAGCUCAGAAGUGCUGAGGUGACGAGGAAGCCCAAGGCUACUGUUCCUUCUGUGAACAAGAGGCCCAAGAAAGAGACCAAGAAGAAGCGG